GGACUACCGGGGUUUCUAAUCCUGUUUGCUCCCCACGCUUUCGCGCCUCAGCGUCAGUUUUCGUCCAGAAAGUCGCCUUCGCCACCGGUGUUCUUCCUAAUCUCUACGCAUUUCACCGCUACACUAGGAAUUCCACUUUCCUCUCCGAUACUCCAGCUUCCCAGUUUCCUUCCCAUCACGGGGUUAAGCCCCGCACUUUUAAGAGGGACUUGGGAAGCCGCCUGCGCGCGCUUUACGCCCAAUAAUUCCGGACAACGCUUGCCACCUACGUAUUACCGCGGCUGCUGGCACGUAGUUAGCCGUGGCUUGCUUUUCCGGUACCGUCAAUGCAGUUUGUUCUUCGCACUCUGCCUUUUCGUCCCGGAUCACAGAGUUUUACAACCCGAAGGCCGUCAUCACU
RNAcentral lists this unclassified non-coding RNA (400 nucleotides) under uncultured fungus. Its description in RNAcentral is "sequence contains ITS1". Lineage: Eukaryota; Fungi. The record is from RNAcentral.